CAGAGACUGCAAGCGUUAUUCGGAUUCACUGGGCGUAAAGGGUGCGCAGGCGGCCAAGUGUGUGAGGCGUGAAAGCCCGGGGCUUAACCCCGGAAUUGCACCUCAAACUACAUGGCUAGAGCAUUGGAGAGGGUAGCAGAAUUCAUGGUGUAGCAGUGAAAUGCGUAGAUAUCAUGAGGAAUACCAGAGGCGAAGGCGGCUACCUGGACAAUUGCUGACGCUCAGGCACGAAAGCGUGGGGAGCAAAAGGGAUUAGAUACCCCUGUAGUCCACGCCCUAAACGGUGCACACUAGGUCUUGGCGGAUUCGACCCCCCCAGGGCCCCAGCUAACGUGUUAAGUGUGCCGCCUGAGGACUACGGCCGCAAGGCUA
RNAcentral lists this ribosomal RNA (372 nucleotides) under uncultured organism. RNAcentral describes it as "bacterial SSU rRNA". It matches the Rfam family "Bacterial small subunit ribosomal RNA", at positions 526 to 896 of the family's 1533-position model. The record is from RNAcentral.